AGUGAACGCUGGCGGUAGGCCUAACACAUGCAAGUCGAACGGCAGCACAGUAAGAGCUUGCUCUUACGGGUGGCGAGUGGCGGACGGGUGAGGAAUACAUCGUAAUCUACUUUUUCGUGGGGGAUAACGUGGGGAAACUUACGCUAAUACCGCAUACGACCUACGGGUGAAAGCAGGGGAUCUUCGGACCUUGCGCGAUUGAAUGAGCCGAUGUCGGAUUAGCUAGUUGGCGGGGUAAAGGCCCACCAAGGCGACGAUCCGUAGCUGGUCUGAGAGGAUGAUCAGCCACACUGGAACUGAGACACGGUCCAGACUCCUACGGGAGGCAGCAGUGGGGAAUAUUGGACAAUGGGCGCAAGCCUGAUCCAGCCAUACCGCGUGGGUGAAGAAGGCCUUCGGGUUGUAAAGCCCUUUUGUUGGGAAAGAAAAGCAGCAGGUUAAUACCCCGCUGUUCUGACGGUACCCAAAGAAUAAGCACCGGCUAACUUCGUG
RNAcentral lists this ribosomal RNA (492 nucleotides) under uncultured bacterium. Its description in RNAcentral is "partial 16S ribosomal RNA". It matches the Rfam family "Bacterial small subunit ribosomal RNA", at positions 29 to 507 of the family's 1533-position model. The record is from RNAcentral.